UUUCUGUAAGAUGCUCUCUCUCCUCUAUCGUCCAGAUCUAUUUUCCCACUAUCGCCAUUUUCUUCCAUCGCCGAGAUCAACCGCCAUUUCCGUAAGAUGCUCUCUCUCCCCAGCUUUCUCUACUAUCGCCAUUUCCUUCCCCAAAUCAAAUUCAUAAAAUUAAAAAUAAUUUAUUUAUCCUUCCCCAAAUCAAACCUAAUUUCUGUCGGAUAAAUUUCUGAAUAAUAAAACUUUCAAUCAAUCCUCAAUGAAAAUCAAAGUGUUGUAAGCAAUCAAGGUCAAGGGCAAAGAAGCAGUAUAAAAAGAGUUUUCAAUUAGGGGAAAAUAAGGUAAAUAAACCUUUUUUGAUAUUGUAUUUGGCGG
This 363-nucleotide long non-coding RNA is filed under the name Panax ginseng (ginseng). Its description in RNAcentral is "long non-coding RNA (PGIN_LNC006142)". Lineage: Eukaryota; Viridiplantae; Streptophyta; Magnoliopsida; Apiales; Araliaceae. The record is from RNAcentral.